UGAAAAUGUACCUCUCUUGACUCGAAGUCUAUUAUUACUUUUUCCAGUAUCCCAUGUUACCCUGUGAAUAACUAUGAAGUUGAAGAUUUCAAUGACUAUGGAGCCACACAGAUAAGGAGCCACACAGAUGAUUUGCUUUCUUAUGAGUUUGGAGAGUUCUUUUGUAUAUCCUAGAUGCAAGUCCUUUAUCAGGUUGGGUGUGCAGGCGCUGGUAAGAUCCGUUCAUGAUCGCAAUGCUGUGAAGUUGCUGGCAGUAGAAACACUUUCCUACCUGCCUGAGGGCCAGUUUCUGGAUGGAGGAAAGGACUUGCUUCCACAUUGCUUGGGCCCAGCACUCCUACCGCUGGCUUUUCAAGUGCAGCUGAAUGGAACACACUGUGGGAAAACCACUAUCCCAUGCUAAUUUUCAGAGCCACUAGAAAUGAACAGAGUCUCUCUCCCUGCUCAGCAGGCUGGACAACAGCUUUCUUCUCACCAAGGCUAUCAUCGGUAAGGCCAACCACUUACAAAUACAGACCUCUGGUUACAAACUAUAGGAUGUUUCUGGAAAGUUCUGAAUAUGCUCUGCAAUUAAAGAGUCUGACUCUGCUGUCCCCCUGCUUAGACACAAUACCCCUUGACUUCAGUGGAUGUCCUGCAUGAGGGAAGACUCUGGGAUUUGCUUUUAAAGGAAUUUAAUCUGUUAAAUUGUUAAAGCUGGGAACUAGCCACAGACCCAUUGAAUAGCUCCUUUUCUUUUUGGGCUCCUAUGAAAUAAGAUGUCUAUUACCCAAAGAUGGGGCAGUGUUAAAAUAAAUAAUUUUAUACAAGGAAGAAUGAUUUUUUUUUCUUUAUGUCAGCUUAUUUAAAACUCUUUCUGUACCUCUGUGGAACACCCCAAUGCUAUUCUCUAAGAAAGAUGAAGAAUUAAGUUC
Long non-coding RNA from Molossus molossus (Pallas's mastiff bat), 914 nucleotides. RefSeq lists it as uncharacterized. The transcript is spliced from 3 exons. NCBI's taxonomy places the organism in Eukaryota, Metazoa, Chordata, Mammalia, Chiroptera, Molossidae. The record is from RefSeq and is a predicted model, not a curated record.